AACCUACCUAUCAGACGGGGAAGUAACCCGGCGAAAGUCGGACUAAAUACCGCAUAAAACAGGGGCACCGCAUGGUGAUAUUUGUUAAAGAAAUUCGCUGAUAGAAUGGGCAUGCGUUCCAUUAGGUAGUUGGUGAGGUAACGGCUCACCAGCCGACGAUGGAUAGGGGAACUGAGAGGUUGGUCCCCCACACUGGUACUGAGACACGGACCAGACUCCUACGGGAGGCAGCAGUGAGGAAUAUUGGUCAAGUGGGCGGGAGCCUGAACCAGCCAAGUCGCGUGAAAAGGAAGAAGGAUCUAUGGUUCGUAAACUUCUUUUGCAGGGGAAAUAAAGUGCAGGACGUGUCCUGUUUUGUAUGUACCCUGAGAAUAAGGAUCGGCUAACUCCGUGCCAGCAGCCGC
RNAcentral lists this ribosomal RNA (404 nucleotides) under uncultured bacterium. RNAcentral's name for it is "bacterial SSU rRNA". It matches the Rfam family "Bacterial small subunit ribosomal RNA", at positions 123 to 518 of the family's 1533-position model. The record is from RNAcentral.